CCCUAUGGGACGAAAGUCUGACGGAGCAACGCCGCGUGAGUGAUGAAGGCUUUCGGGUCGUAAAACUCUGUUGUUAGGGAAGAACAAGUGCUAGUUGAAUAAGCUGGCACCUUGACGGUACCUAACCAGAAAGCCACGGCUAACUACGUGCCAGCAGCCGCGGUAAUACGUAGGUGGCAAGCGUUAUCCGGAAUUAUUGGGCGUAAAGCGCGCGCAGGUGGUUUCUUAAGUCUGAUGUGAAAGCCCACGGCUCAACCGUGGAGGGUCAUUGGAAACUGGGAGACUUGAGUGCAGAAGAGGAAAGUGGAAUUCCAUGUGUAGCGGUGAAAUGCGUAGAGAUAUGGAGGAACACCAGUGGCGAAUGCUACUUUCUGGUCUGUAACUGACACUGAGGCGCGAAAGCGUGGGGAGCAAACAGGAUUACAUACCCUGGUAGUCCACGCCGUAAACGAUGAGUGCUAAGUGUUAUAGGGUUUCCGCCCUUUAGUGCUGAAGUUAACGCAUUAAGCACUCCGCCUGGGGAGUACGGCCGCAAGGCUGAAACUCAAAGGAAUUGACGGGGGCCCCGCACAAGA
RNAcentral lists this ribosomal RNA (575 nucleotides) under Bacillus cereus. RNAcentral describes it as "bacterial SSU rRNA". It matches the Rfam family "Bacterial small subunit ribosomal RNA", at positions 366 to 930 of the family's 1533-position model. The record is from RNAcentral. Lineage: Bacteria; Bacillati; Bacillota; Bacilli; Caryophanales; Bacillaceae.